This 69-nucleotide transfer RNA is filed under the name Marmota marmota marmota (Alpine marmot). It matches the Rfam family "tRNA". Rfam says of the family: Transfer RNA (tRNA) molecules are approximately 80 nucleotides in length. Their secondary structure includes four short double-helical elements and three loops (D, anti-codon, and T loops). The record is from Rfam by way of RNAcentral. Lineage: Eukaryota; Metazoa; Chordata; Mammalia; Rodentia; Sciuridae. RNAcentral also lists the same sequence under 1 other name.
GGAGUCAUGGCUCAGUGGUAGAGUGCUUACCUAGCAUGUGAGAGACACUGGGUUUGAUUCUCAGCACCA